Molecule: long non-coding RNA, 316 nt
Organism: Gigantopelta aegis
Lineage: Eukaryota; Metazoa; Mollusca; Gastropoda; Neomphalida; Peltospiridae
Exons: 3
Source: RefSeq, a predicted model, not a curated record
GUGGGUUGUGGUGUGGAGGCGGUGUUCACUGGAUCCAGACUGAAGCCUCAGCAGACUCUUAAAGUGUACUUCACCAAAAAUGGCACACGGGUACAUGAGAUUAAGAUGGACUACAUCACUGAUGGCUUGUACCCAUGUGUAGCAUUGCACUUUGAAGAGGACAAAGUCCAGCUCCAUGACUUCUUCCCUGGUUGUCAGAGACUCAUCCAAGAAACCCCUACAAAAACAAAACAUAAGACAGUGGAACAGGACCUGCCAGAAGGAUGUCAGUUUGUGGUUGUUGCUGUGGGUGAUGGGACAACAUCAGACGUUAGAG